RNAcentral lists this transfer RNA (71 nucleotides) under Marmota monax (woodchuck). It matches the Rfam family "tRNA". From Rfam's summary of the family: Transfer RNA (tRNA) molecules are approximately 80 nucleotides in length. Their secondary structure includes four short double-helical elements and three loops (D, anti-codon, and T loops). Further hydrogen bonds mediate the characteristic L-shaped molecular structure. tRNAs have two regions of fundamental functional importance: the anti-codon, which is responsible for specific mRNA codon recognition, and the 3' end, to which the tRNAs corresponding amino acid is attached (by aminoacyl-tRNA synthetases). tRNAs cope with the degeneracy of the genetic code in two manners: having more than one tRNA (with a specific anti-codon) for a particular amino acid; and 'wobble' base-pairing, i.e. permitting non-standard base-pairing at the 3rd anti-codon position. The record is from Rfam by way of RNAcentral. Lineage: Eukaryota; Metazoa; Chordata; Mammalia; Rodentia; Sciuridae.
GGGGUGGUGGCUCAGUGGUAGAGCACUCUCCUAGUGUGUGUGAGGCACUGAGUUCAAUCCUCAGCACCGCA